Molecule: ribosomal RNA, 255 nt
Filed under: uncultured bacterium
Lineage: Bacteria
Description: partial 16S ribosomal RNA
Rfam family: Bacterial small subunit ribosomal RNA
Source: RNAcentral
UACGGAGGGUGCAAGCGUUUGUCCGGAAUCACUGGGCGUAAAGGGCGCGUAGGCGGCUCAUGAAGGCUGUGGUGAAAGUCCGGGGCUCAACCUCGGAUCGGCCGUGGCGACUCGUGGGCUGGAGCACUGUAGAGGCGGGUGGAAUUCCGGGUGUAGCGGUGGAAUGCGUAGAGAUCCGGAAGAACACCAGUGGCGAAGGCGGCCCCGCUGGGCAGUGGCUGACGCUGAGGCGCGACAGCGUGGGGAGCAAACAGG